RNAcentral lists this ribosomal RNA (413 nucleotides) under uncultured bacterium. RNAcentral's name for it is "bacterial SSU rRNA". It matches the Rfam family "Bacterial small subunit ribosomal RNA", at positions 958 to 1375 of the family's 1533-position model. The record is from RNAcentral.
AACGCGAAGAACCUUACCUACCCUUGACAUGUACGGAAUCCUGCCGAGAGGUGGGAGUGCCCGAAAGGGAGCCGUAACACAGGUGCUGCAUGGCUGUCGUCAGCUCGUGUCGUGAGAUGUUGGGUUAAGUCCCGCAACGAGCGCAACCCUUGUCCCUAGUUGCUACGCAAGAGCACUCUAGGGAGACUGCCGGUGACAAACCGGAGGAAGGUGGGGAUGACGUCAAGUCCUCAUGGCCCUUAUGGGUAGGGCUUCACACGUCAUACAAUGGUCGGAACAGAGGGUUGCCAAGCCGCGAGGUGGAGCCAAUCCCAGAAAACCGAUCGUAGUCCGGAUCGCAGUCUGCAACUCGACUGCGUGAAGCUGGAAUCGCUAGUAAUCGCGGAUCAGCAUGCCGCGGUGAAUACGUUCCC